Molecule: non-coding RNA, 76 nt
Organism: Myotis lucifugus (little brown bat)
Lineage: Eukaryota; Metazoa; Chordata; Mammalia; Chiroptera; Vespertilionidae
Source: Rfam
GGUGGUUCUUGGGUGAUGUACCCGGGAACCAGAGAGGAGGGAGCCCGAUUCUGGGGUGUGUCACCCAAGAACUGCA